RNAcentral lists this ribosomal RNA (254 nucleotides) under uncultured bacterium. RNAcentral describes it as "partial 16S ribosomal RNA". It matches the Rfam family "Bacterial small subunit ribosomal RNA", at positions 524 to 776 of the family's 1533-position model. The record is from RNAcentral.
UACGGGGGGAGCAAGCGUUGUUCGGAUUUACGGGGCGUAAAGGGCGCGUAGGCGGCCAGCACAAGUCAGUUGUGAAAUCUCCGAGCUUAACUCGGAAAGGUCAACUGAUACUGUGCGACUAGAGUGCGGAAGGGGCAACUGGAAUUCCUGGUGUAGCGGUGGAAUGCGCAGAUAUCAGGAGGAACACCAAUAGCGAAGGCAGCUCGCUGGGACGGUACUGACGCUAAGGCGCGAAAGCGUGGGGAGCGAACAGG